CACAACGGAGCAAGACUGACAGACUGAACGUGGACAGCUCCUCAGAAGGAUGCAAGACUGAUGGAGGCAAAGAAUUACACACUGUUUGAGUCUCUGUGUGACACUGUUCUAUCAUCACUGGCAUUACUGCAAAACUGUAUCACUGAGCUUUUGGAAUUUAAAGAUCAACUGAUGAACCAUGCCCUUCCCACCAGCCUCCUAGCCCAUUUGGUCAUUAUUAAAGGCCAGCGUUUCCGCAGGAAAAAGCAUCAGCUGGGUGUGGCAGUGAGACAACUACAGCUACUUGAUGGACAUCUAAGUUUCUGCUUCAAGAUCAUUACUUUUGUGGGGCCUGGCUUUGAUAGACAAUGGCAAAUCAAGAUUGUAAUGAAUCCCAUGGAGACCAAAUGUGAAAGAACCAAACUUUUCAAAGGACCCCAAUGGGAAAAAAAAGCAAGAUUUCACGUUUUUAUUGUUUUACUGUAACCAAGGUUAGAUGGAUUGCUUGGGAAUGUCAGAUAUUGAACUGGGAGAAGUUGUUUGGAAAGUUGAUGGUAUGCGAUUUUGACAUUCCGCGGAGCACAGUCAGACAGAGAAGCGUGUUCCUGCUUGUUCACUUUCUCUGCAGUUUCCAUUGGAGGGUGAGACUGCUGUUUUAAAGAUAGACACUGUUGAUAGAGAAGCACAAACUGAGGGACAGACAGAGGAGCAAGGAAUCUGGACCGGUGACCCUCUCCAUCACAGAUAUGCCUGCCACUGGGCCUACACCUGAAAUAUUAAAAACAUCAGAAGUGACCAAGAGUGACUUUGCAAAGUCAGCCUUGGAGUCUGUACUGACUAGGUUCGUUUUUCAGAGACCCUCACAGACUUGAUGCAAGAGCAAGACACUGACCUGGUUACAAAAACACAAUCCUUUAUUAUUAAGCGAGUAUAAGCUGCGGAGAAACGCUGUACGCAAUCCGGCACAGAGUGCUGAGUAUCGUGAGCGAUUCUGUCCGAACAGUCGACAGUCCCCACUUUUAUACCCUUGGAAUUGGCAGAAACAUGAAACAAUUACUACAUCUGAAACAUCACGAAUAUGUGGUCAUGCCGCUAUAAUGAGAACAGAAUACAGCUUUGAUCGUCACGAAGUAUAUGAUGGCGACAGGAUGCGACAACUGCCUGGCUUGAUCGAAGGUCACUAACCUGGCCAUUUCAGCAGAAACAGGGGGUCUCAAGGACACUAUGUGCUGACCACUUCCUGAUGGACUUGCGAUCAAACUUGCUUUUCUCUGCAAAUUUCUCCAUGAAGGACAGGUCAUAUGGACUGGUCCAAUGAUGUGGAGUAUUCCAUGGCAAUGAGGUCAGACCCAUCCUUCGCGACACCGGGGACAGGUAGAACCUCAGUACAAAGUGAGACUUACUGUUUACAUACUGAGCGUCUACACAUAACUUGAUGCAGCCACACACAAAGGUGGCACAGGGUACAUUCUUCCCCCCCACUUACCCAGAGCUUUGUACAUGGUGUCCCUGUCAACACGGUCCAUCUCAGACCUCCAGAUGAAAUGGAAGAUAGUUUGGGUGAUUGCAACAGAUCAGGUAGUCACAUUCUAAUUAUUUCUCAUCAAUUGUACCAAGAUCUGGCUCUUGUUGUUUCACACACUCUGUGCUUGCCUGCCCUGUUGUAGAUUUCUCUCUCACUGCGCCCACAGUACUGCAAGAAAGCAACAGAAGAAGAGCGUGAGUGAGACCCUGCUGCUGAAGAGGAAAUUUCCACAGGAUAUAAGCGAGGAGUUUGGGAGAGAAUAAAAGUGCUGGAGGAAAACAUGUGGAGAAAUAAACAAGAUAUGAUUGAAAAGCUUCAGUGUGAGACUCAUCAGAACCUUGAAAAGCAGCUUUUGGUUCAGAAAAGUCUUCACCCGUACUCAGACAACAGAGAAAAUAGCAACUGAAGCAAAGUAGAUGAAAUCUGUUUCCCAGCACUGUUCAUGCCAAUGAAGACUGGACAAGUAUUUACUCCAAAGGCUUGCUUGUACUUUCAUCCAUCAGGAUCAGCAGGCUUCUUCCGUCUAACCCAGGCACCAUCAGUGAUCAGCCUCUCCACUCUGUGCAGCAGCAAUAAGGUGUCCAUCUUGAACAUCCUGAACCCAAAAGGACCUUUGCCAAUAACCCCAGCUAAUGAGAGUAACUACGCAUCCACAGAAAAUGAGAUGAUGGUCAACAAACUGGUAUCUGAUCCAGCCCCCCUAAAUCACGUAUGGACAGGCAGCGAGGGCAGGCCAGAGGAUUAAAUCAGACUUUCAUUAAAUCUGAUUUCCUUUCUCACUCCUUUCAAAGAUGCUGAUUCUUUCUAGGGUACAGAUUCCAUGAGUACUUGCAACUUAUUGAUACUAUACAUUUUCUUUUAUUAUUACAGUGCAAGUCUAAACAGUGAGUGUCAGGCUGUUUAGCAGAGGACAGCAUCACAGUUAGAUUUCAUCCUGUUUUCACCUGAUAGUGCUAUGCAUAUACAUUGAUGAAGAAAUCCUGAGCGGGAACUAUGGCUGGUUUGUUUUCCCCUUAAUUCCUU
This is a long non-coding RNA of Stegostoma tigrinum, 2527 nucleotides long. RefSeq lists it as uncharacterized. NCBI's taxonomy places the organism in Eukaryota, Metazoa, Chordata, Chondrichthyes, Orectolobiformes, Stegostomatidae. The record is from RefSeq and is a predicted model, not a curated record. The transcript is spliced from 12 exons.